AGCUGUGUGACCCUGGACAAGUCACUUAACCCCAACUGCCUCAGGGGGGAAAAAUUGGGAAAUAACUGAGUAACAACAAAGCUGCUGGAGUUACAGAUGUGAAAAAUGCUAGUUUUUAAUCUAGAGAAGCUCAUGGUGCAGUAGGGGAGGUAAGCAUGUGCACAGGUGUAACUAUAAUGCAAGACAAAAUAUUUGAAUUCAUAGAAAACAAGAACUGUUCCAUAAAAAUUUUGAGGAGUAUGCUAUAGUUCUAAAUCGGGACAGAUAGGAAAGGUUUCAUGGAGAAAGUAGUUGAGAAGGGUCCUGAAGGAAUCUCCAAAGGAAAAGCUCCUGAGAAUGAUUCUGCUUGUAGGUGGAAGGGAGGGCUGGCAUUUGAAAAUGCAGAGAAAGCAGAUGUCAAGAUCCGAUCAAAGAAUGGCAAGAAGCCCAGUUUUAAUUGCCCAGAGAGUACAUAAGGGCAGCAUGCUCCAAGGCAAUGUGAUGUAAGAGGACAAACUGAAAUCAAGAAACAGAGUUUCUUGGCUGAAAUUCAGGACCAUGGAUUUAGAGAUAGGAGUCCCCUGGUCAUAUACUAUAACUCUCAUUUUAAAGAUGAGCCUAACAGGUCAAGUCACUUGCCAAAGUUAGGAUUCAAGCCCAAAUCCUCUAAUUCCAAAUCUAGGACAUUUUUCAUUACACAAGUAGUUUAUAUGAAAUAGGGGCAUAACAUAAUGCUCACUCCUAUGCCCAAAUAGAUCUGUGCCCUUCUUCCCUUUACAACUUUUCCAUGUCUUCCCAUGAACUUAAGUUCAUCAGAGUAUCCCUUAGAGGUCUUCCUCUCUCCUGUAAUCAGACCAUCUGGGUCCACAGCGGUCAUCCAUCAAUCUGUUGCCUCUUGCUUUUGCCAGCUCAUUUUCUUUUUCUGCAUACUUGCUCUAAUGACUUUUUAUUCAAGUUGUUUCUAAAGUUCCUUAUUUGUUAUUUUGCAGAAUGCUUACAUUCAGCAUGUGAUCCUCCAUUGUUUUCUGCAAUAUUCCUUUUUAGUUCCAGGAGACUGAUAUUCCAUAUCUCACAGGUAUAUACUACCAAUCUAAUACUGGUAUUUAAAAAGAUGGAUUUUUGAGGAAGAAGUUAGGAAGUCUCAUAUGAACUGAUGCAAAGUGAAGUGAGCAGAAACAAGAAAACAAUUUAUACAGUAACAGCAAUAAGAAUCAAUUGAAAGACUCCUCCUGAUCAAUACAAUGAAUGACCUACCACAAUUCCAAAGGAGUCAUGAUGAAAUUGACUCCAGAGAAGAGUACUGAAGCAUCUUUUCUUCCUUUCUUAGUCCUUUUUUUAAAAGGAAUAUGGCUAGUGCAAAAAUUUAUUUUGCAUGACUACACAUAUUUGUAAUGCGAUAGGGGAGGGCCUUCACAAUGGAUAGAGGAAGAGAGAAGUGGAAGAUAAUUUGGAACUGAAAACAAAAUUUAAGUUUAACAAAAUACGUUCCUUCAAGCACUGCAAUAUUUCAAGACUUGCUGAAAUCAACUUGAUAUCACCUGCUCACAAGAGCACCUAGAGAAUCUUAUCAAUCAUAGGGAAUCCCUUCUUCAAUUUGGACUUUCAAAUUGGAUCUCCUUUAUCACAGCAACAAAAAUCUUCCUACUUUAUGCUCUGCCUUGCCUAAUGUUUAUGAUCUGGAAGUUACUGAUUAUCAUCUUAUAUCAUUCAAGGACUCCCGAAUGGUUUUUGCUAUAUGGAGAGACACCUUGUAGAAGAAAAAUUCCAAGACAGCAUUUUGCUCAACCAAAUCAAACACAUUUUCACAAUUAAUAAUCAACAUAGUGAAAUUAUCUCAUCUUUCUGCUAAUAAAGGUAAAGAUGUAGAACGCUGAAAUACCGCUUGUAAAAAGGCAGCAUGUUUCUUACUAAUAGCCUCACUAAGUCUAUUAUCUUAGUGUCCCAAGAUAAUUCACUUAUAAUUGUGUACAUAUGGGAAAGGAGACCUCUCACUCAGUAGUUGAUUGCACCUGUUACCUUUCCAGGGCAUCAAUAACAUCAAGAUUUUUUCUAAUGUUUUAAGUAUCUUACCCCUUCCUCCGUUAAUUUUGUGGAUUAAUCCUUGAAUGUCUUCACAAUUGACAAUUCUAGUGUGGUUCUCCUCUCCCUAUAUUUGGUACAAGACAACUACUUUUUUUCAUUUUAUUUUUUUUAAGUGACAUUUGUCUUUUAUAAGCACAUCCAGAACUAUGAGAUUCACUGAGAUGAUUAUAACAUCUUUUAAUGGUGGAAAUAAUUUAUGAAAAUCCUUGCAGUCCAUUUCAUUUUUCUUUAACAUUAUCCUCAUUCUGGUGUUAUCUUUAGGUUCCCUCAGGAUGACUUGUUGAGAAUUUUAAAACAAAAUGAAGAAAUAAAGUAAAAACCAAGUAAUGAAAGUUUGGUGAAACUAAACAGCAAGUAAUCUGGAAGGAACAACCCCUAAAUUUCCAUCAUUCUUCCUUACAAGAGUUAUUACUUUUUUAAUGUCUAACUAGGGCUACCUUCAGCUGCUCAAUUUGUCAAGUGUUUGCUGACUAAGGUAUCCUUUUGUCUCUUUUGGUCACAUUAUGGCAAUUGAUUUUCAUCUGUUAAAAAUUCUAUAAAAAAUCAUAACUAAUGUUGAUGAAAUUGUUUGCUAUCCAUUUUUUUGAAAAUAACUUGUUUAAACAUUUCAGGAGUGAGUCAUUAAAUGCUAAUUGCAUUUAAUAUUGUUUUCUAUUCUAUCUUGGUUCUACCAAGUCAAUUGUCUAAGUGUACAAAGCUGAUUAUGGGAUGUUUCUCAUAUCAAUAGUUUGUUGGGUUUUUUUUCUCAUUUGUUAAAAUCUAAUCUAAGAUGUGGAGUUGUGGGGAAGGAGUAAAUUCCAGGCAUAGGGGGCAGAAGAAUCAUAUAUAAGCAACCGUAUGAAGACUUAUUUUGGCUAAAUUAGGGAGCAUGUGAGAGUCCCCUGAAAGCUGGUAAAAUAAGGAAGGGCCAGAUUAUAAAAGACAAAAUAGUCCAAGUGGUCAGUAACAAGGAUCUGAAAAGGGAAACUAAAGUUAGGGAUAUAAAAAUGGAGUGAAAGAGUUAAACUUGGUGCCUGGUCAUGGGUAAUGAUGGUGAGAGAGCUGAUUGAUGUCUUCAGCUUGGGUGCCAUCUACUGAAACAGACAUGUGGAGGAAAUAUCAGAAAGGGACAUUUCCCAUCAACAGGGAAAGAGAGCAGUGGAAUAUGCAAUUCAGUAAAACAUCUAUAAUUUAGAAAUAUAUACAUAUAUUGAAGAUAUAAAAAUAAGUUUGAAAAUAAGAUCCAAGAAUCAAUUUGUAAGUUCCAGUACUAAAGAAUGUGUAUUUCUUCCUUCUUAAAAUCAUUCCAAAUAUUCUUCAAUUUUUUAUGAGAAGCAGUGUGAAUAGUGGAGAGGGAGAUGCUCUCAAAACCAGUAAAAUCUAAAUUCAAGUGCUAUCUCUGACAUAGAUGGAUUGUGUGACACUGGGAAAGUCACAAUCUCUCAGCGCUCCAGGGAACUUUAAGACACUAACUGCAAAGAAUGCACUGCAUGUAGAGGGAGUUUCUGUUCCCUAGAUCAAUGACAUCACAGAUGUAGUUUCUAUCCUAUUUUUUGUUCUUUGUUUCCAGCUCUAUCCUUCUCAGAGAAGUAUUCCUUUUAAUUAAUGAAAUGCAGUUAAUAAGCACUUGUUCCUGCUCUCAAACGGUUUAUAGCCUAUUAAAGGAGACAGUACGCAUGAGAUAAGAGUUCCCCUUCUCAUGUGGGCAAAUGGCAAAGAACC
Long non-coding RNA from Sarcophilus harrisii (Tasmanian devil), 3762 nucleotides. NCBI's taxonomy places the organism in Eukaryota, Metazoa, Chordata, Mammalia, Dasyuromorphia, Dasyuridae. The record is from Ensembl.